Molecule: long non-coding RNA, 2753 nt
Filed under: Zea mays
Lineage: Eukaryota; Viridiplantae; Streptophyta; Magnoliopsida; Poales; Poaceae
Description: long non-coding RNA (ZMAY_LNC004237)
Source: RNAcentral
CCCACCCUCUCGCCGCUAUAUAGCCAGGUCUCUCCCGUGACUUUUCCCUCUCCCAUCUUGAGCUGAUGCCAAGGGAACAAGCUGCACCGUGAGCCGGGUGUAAAUGUGGUGAUGGGGGAAAAGGGGGUGCGUCGUCGCCACCCUGUUCCUUGGUCGUCGAGUAUCGGCCGUGGUGCAUUGUCGGGCCAUGAUGAACUCGUCUAUGGCGGUGGGUAAUGCGGGGGACCUCUGUGAUCACGCAGAUUUCUCGCCAGAGUACAUGCGCCACCGCAGGACUGCCCUUUGCCAUGGUCGGGGGCCGUCGGCAUGUCUACCCCGGUAAGACCCCUUCCAUCGUGUUCGUCUAGUGUAGGGCAUCGUGUUCGUCGGCAUGUUCGAAUCAAAGCUUUGUGCGCCGUGCCAAGAAACGGGGCAGUCUGGCCAUGGAGCCACCGUGCCGGUGCUGGGCGUGGUGAUCGGAGUGGUCGGCGGGGGGAGAUGAGGGAGAAGGGUAGUACUGCCAUCGGAUGCAUGACCAAUGGAUGAGAUUAGAGCCCGCAUACCUAUUCGUUGCAUUGGAUGACAACCGUGGAUCUCCAAUCUAUCAGCCACAGUCACUUACCCCUCCAUCGAUUAAUAUCAUCCGUCGAUCACGGAUCCUACCGCCACUACUCUGUAUCGGUUCACUGAUCUAAUCGUAGCCCUUGAUGAAAGAUCCAACGGCUGUGGCUCCAUGAUACCCCUUCGGCCGGGCUUUCUUGCAUAAGAGCCCCUGCCCUUUUCACAAAUCAACCCACCAUCGUAGUUAAGUGAAGAAAGAUUUAACUAAAGCCAAUUUAUGAUUUAACCCCGAGUUUUAGAAAUUAGUACUCGCAGUCCAUAAUCCCAGAAAUUCAUAAAAUGAAGAUAGAAAAUACUUUUAACAUAUAAAUAAUCCUCGAAAAACUUUGGAAAUUCGUAUCUUCUUUAUUUUAACUUCGAUUUGAUCCAUUCGAAUUGUGUUAGCUUCAUAUAAAUUUUUAUUACACAAUAACAACAUUAAUUAUACGAUAUCACAUACUAUUAUAAUUAGGUAACUAAUUUGAUUAAUCUGUGUUUGUUGGAUUAGCUUCUCUAAUAUUAAUAUAAUAUUUUGAUUUUAUAGUUAUAAUAAUUUGAUUAAAAGAUAAUCUAUAAUCAAGUAAUAACUUAGAUUAAAGUUGAACGAAGAUAUUUAUAUAUUUUCUCACAUAACUUAUGCUAAUAAAAAUAUAGUUUUAUUAUUUAAACACAUAAAACUUCGGAAAAGCAUAACUUUUAACCAUAACUCUGAUUUUAGUGGUUUUCGAACCUAUGAUCUCGUAGCAGCGGUAGAAUAUUCUUACGCAGUUUGUUCUUAUGCUUUGGUGUACUGUUAUAUUUUUAUGUACUCCUUGUCUAUUUGUAUGUAUUGCUAUGAAUAGCGGUGAGGUCACGAGAAUCUGAAGACUAACUUGGUACCUGGGAUCUCAAGUCUAAGGCAAGUUGUGCCCUUGAUCACUUUUCUUUAUCUAUACCUAAUAAGGUUCCUGUUAAUCACUGUGACAUGCUUAGGUUAAUUUGAUGGGACCUAAUAGUUUCCCUAGCAUUGUUAUCCCCCACCUUGCAAACAGAUGAAAUAUUGCGUAGAUUUGCUAUUGCUCUACCUAGUUUUGGGAAAUUAAUGUUUUAUUAUGAUCAUGUUCCAGUUAUAUUGUUGUUUUAAUUACUGUUCAUAAUAAGAUCAUCAUAAUUGGAACAUGGAGAACCACCCGGGAAAACAGUGCUACCACAAGGGUGGUAUGGGACGCCCUUGGCUGACUAAUUAGGAAAGCUAGUGGAAGACAACCUUAUCCGAAAGGGCAAGGGCAGUAGAGGACCUGCGUAUAGGGAGGUUCUCGAGUCGAUCAUGCUGCGAUGGCUUUUCGGACGAUGGAUUCCUAUAUUGCCCUUCUCAGAAACCGUAGCAGGUUUCUGGAAGCCAGUGGAACUUUGUAAAGGCCUCGUAGUGGUACCCUGCCUCAUCUCCUCAGCAAAGAUGAAUGAGAAGUCACGAUCCCUUGGCAAAUGGGUAACACGACUUGUGGGUAAAGAUGUGCAACCUCUGUAGAGUGUAAAACCGGUACAUCUGCCGUGCUCACGGUCAUGUGCGGCUCAGUCACUCACAUGAUUAAAUUAUGGAAUUAAACUUAACUUGUCAUAUGCAUUGCAUUGUGGGUGCUAUUAUUAAUUUGAUCUCUUAUUUAUUUGGGUCGGUAUCUAAUUAUACUUAGUAACUACUAAUAAAAUUUUGACCAACUUUAAAAGCAAUGCUUAGAUUCAACCAUCUCCUUUGGUAAGCCUUACACUUCACAUGAGCUCCCACCUUUGGUGAGUUCAUGCACAUUAUUCCCCACAACUUGUUGAGUGAUGAACGUGUGUGAGCUCACCCUUGCUGUACUCAUAUCCCCCAGGUCAAGAACAGGUACCGUCAAGAUGAGGAGCAUGAAGGUUGUUGCGAUGAGUUUGUGAGAGGUCUAGGUCAUCGUCUCCCAGUCAACUAUGCUUGCUGGAUCGUUGUCUCCUUAUGAUGUAAUUAUUUAAUUAUUUUGUAUAGAACUCCGUUAUAUAUUAAAGAUGUGACAUUCGUUUCUGUACCAUGAGUCAUCAUAUGUGUGAGACUUGGUCCCAGCACACUUGGUGAAGAUCGCGCCCAGUUUGGUGCCCCUAAAACACGGGUGUGACAUAUCUUGAGAAGGUUGGAUUGGUUUGGCUUUGCCUUUCUUGUCAUACAAGGC